UGGGGAAUAUUGCGCAAUGGGGGAAACCCUGACGCAGCAACGCCGCGUGAAGGAUGAAGGUCUUCGGAUUGUAAACUUUUAUCGGGUGGGACGAAUAAUGACGGUACCACAGUAAGAAGCCCCGGCUAACUACGUGCCAGCAGCCGCGGUAAUACGUAGGGGGCAAGCGUUAUCCGGAAUUACUGGGUGUAAAGGGUGAGUAGGCGGUUAUACAAGUCACAUGUGUAAAUCCAGUGCUUAACGCUGGACGCGCAUGAGAAACUGUAUAGCUUGAGUGUGGGAGAGGUAAGCGGAAUUCCUAGUGUAGCGGUGAAAUGCGUAGAUAUUAGGAAGAACACCAGUGGCGAAGGCGGCUUACUGGACCACAACUGACGCUGAUUCACGAAAGCGUGGGGAGCAAACA
This 403-nucleotide ribosomal RNA is filed under the name uncultured Eubacteriales bacterium. RNAcentral describes it as "uncultured Clostridiales bacterium partial 16S ribosomal RNA". It matches the Rfam family "Bacterial small subunit ribosomal RNA", at positions 355 to 774 of the family's 1533-position model. The record is from RNAcentral. Lineage: Bacteria; Bacillati; Bacillota; Clostridia; Eubacteriales.